RNAcentral lists this ribosomal RNA (245 nucleotides) under uncultured cyanobacterium. RNAcentral's name for it is "partial 16S ribosomal RNA". It matches the Rfam family "Bacterial small subunit ribosomal RNA", at positions 796 to 1039 of the family's 1533-position model. The record is from RNAcentral. Lineage: Bacteria; Bacillati; Cyanobacteriota.
CUAGCCGUAAACGAUGGACACUAGAUGUUGCCCGUAUAGACCCGGGCAGUGUCGUAGCUAACGCGUUAAGUGUCCCGCCUGGGGAGUAUGCACGCAAGUGUGAAACUCAAAGGAAUUGACGGGGGCCCGCACAAGCGGUGGAGUAUGUGGUUUAAUUCGAUGCAACGCGAAGAACCUUACCAGGGUUUGACAUGUCCGGAACCUCGGUGAAAGCUGAGGGUGCCUUCGGGAACCGGAACACAGGU